AGUUUUUCGAAUCCGUGCUGAGAUUUCGUCAGACACCAACCCAUUAAGGCUGAUCACACUUCCAAGAUAAGUGAAGUU
Non-coding RNA from Schistosoma mattheei, 78 nucleotides. The record is from Rfam. NCBI's taxonomy places the organism in Eukaryota, Metazoa, Platyhelminthes, Trematoda, Strigeidida, Schistosomatidae.